Molecule: ribosomal RNA, 253 nt
Filed under: uncultured bacterium
Lineage: Bacteria
Description: partial 16S ribosomal RNA
Rfam family: Bacterial small subunit ribosomal RNA
Source: RNAcentral
UACGAAGGCGGCAAGCGUUACUCGGAAUUACUAGGCGUAAAGGGCAGGUAGGUGGUUCGAUAAGUCUGUUGUGUAAGCUCCCGGCUUAACUGGGAGAGGUCAACGGAAACUAUCGGACUUGAGUAUAGGAGAGGUUACUGGAAUUCCCGGUGUAGCGGUGAAAUGCGCAGAGAUCGGGAGGAACACCAAUGGCGAAGGCGGCGAUCUGGACAGAUAUUGACGCUGAGGUGCGAAAGCGUGGGGAGCAAACAGG